This 253-nucleotide ribosomal RNA is filed under the name uncultured bacterium. RNAcentral's name for it is "partial 16S ribosomal RNA". It matches the Rfam family "Bacterial small subunit ribosomal RNA", at positions 524 to 776 of the family's 1533-position model. The record is from RNAcentral.
UACGUAGGCAGCAAGCGUUGUUCGGAUUUACUGGGCGUAAAGAGUGCGUAGGCGGUGGCCUAAGUUCGGUGUGAAAUCUCCCGGCUUAACUGGGAGGGUGCGCCGGAAACUGGGCUGCUGGAGUGUGGGAAAGGCAAGCGGAAUUCCUGGUGUAGCGGUGAAAUGCGUAGAUAUCAGGAGGAACACCGGCGGUGUAGACGGCUUGCUAGACCAUAACUGACGCUGAGGCACGAAAGCGUGGGUAGCAAACAGG